This 6387-nucleotide long non-coding RNA is filed under the name Brassica napus (rape). Its description in RNAcentral is "long non-coding RNA (BNAP_LNC015912)". Lineage: Eukaryota; Viridiplantae; Streptophyta; Magnoliopsida; Brassicales; Brassicaceae. The record is from RNAcentral.
GUAACUCCGAUUGCGACGAAACGAAGAAUGUUUUCGACAAGAUUCAAAUGAUAACAUAAUGGACGGAGGAGUGGGCGAUAAUUAGGCAUAAUGGCAAUGUACAACAAUGAUCAGAGCCUUCGCGCGAUGUGCUAGAGUGAAGGGGCGAUGUGCUGUUGAUGUCCGGUGAGGCUCGCCUUCAGAGCAGAGCACGAAGAGCUUAAUGUGCUGGGAGAGCUGGGGCAGAUGCAUAGCUCAUGGUGGUUGAGGAGAUUUGGACGGUGUGGGAAAGUUUCCAGAGGUGGAGAAUUGGUCGACAGUUGAGGAGCUGGAGGCGAUACGAAGAACCCCAAAGAAGCCUGCUAUUCCGGCAAGACUCACAGAUCUGAAGCUUGGGAAGGGUGGACCAUUCCGGUGAUGGGCGACGGUACAAUAGGUGAGCAACAGGAGAGGCAUCGGAUCUGGAUUAAAGGUAAUUAUUUAAAUUUUAUAUAUAUAUAGAGAGAGAGAGAGAUUUCAUAUUUAUUUUGAUAUAAUAUCUAAAAAUAAGUAUUUAAAAUUUAAAUACUCAAUUAUAUAUAACUAAAUAUCCUUUUUUUAUUAUUUGAGGAGCAUUAUUUUAAACUAACCUUGACCUCAUGUGUUAUUAACCAAAUUGCCAUUUCUUAGGUGUCAACACUAGAAUCACUCUCACACCCUUUAAUUAAAAGCCCUCUCCUCAUUAGACUAAUUACAUAUAUUGACAUUAUUCAUUACAAUAUAGCUUAACAUAAUAUAUUAUAUGAUUCCUAUCUAUAUAACUGAUAACCCAUUUCUCACGCGGCCUCCUUCGUAUUGAUAGAAUGUCUCUUUUAUUAUUGAUUUUUGUAGUCUCCUUAGGUUUCUAUAUCCAUCAAGUAGAUACAAAUAUAUUUUAGUAAAAGUAGUAUAACACAGGUUUUAGUUCAAGAAAUAUUUCUCAUCUAUCUCGAGACGCCUAUCAUCUUUAUGAUAUAUAAGUACAAAUAAAAAUCGAAUAUAGCUCGAAACGCCUAUCAUCUUUGAGAAUAUAGAAAUCUCAAGUAUAAAUUUGUUUUUGUAUAAGUAUGAAUGUUCAUCUCACUUAAAUGAUAUCAACUAUAAGGCAAUUUCAAUAUUUUCAAAAUGUAGAAGGAGCUAUAUGACUGCUUGCUCGAUACGGUUUGUAUUAAUAUUUUUUAUUUCAGAAGUCCUUAUUGUCCAAUGGUCAUAUGUUAAUUUUUUUUAUAUCAACCUUGUAUAUAAAGAAAGUUAGAUUAUGUAUUCAGAUUUUAAAAAUUAUAUCACAUGAUUUUGUUGUUUAAAUAUCAUCCCGAAAUCGAAGGUGAUAUCGUUACAAGUGUUUAAAAAUAAAGUGAAUUGAUUACAUCAUUUGUGUAUGAUAGUAUUUACCUAAUUUGAUCUUCUUUGAUUUAUUAUUAUCGUGUAUUAAGGCAAGCUUUUGAAGGAGAUUAAAGCGCAAAUUUUGUGAUAAUAAUUAGUGAAUAUUUUAUAUAAUUAGGGUGAGAUUGAUUUUAGAAGAUUAAUUUAACGUAUAUAAAUACGUAGCCUUGAGUUCUUUGUUAUUUCUCUUUCUAAGAUUGCAAACCUAGAGUUCUAAAGACAUUUUUCACAUUAGUUGUGAUUUUAUCAGUUUUUUUAUUUGUUUCUUUAUAAUUUGUUGCUUUUGUAUUUUAUUAUUCUAUUACCUAUGUUUCGUUUCAUAUUAUCAUAAUUUUUAUUAUGAAAGUAAUAAUUAUAUUCCUAUGUGUUGUUUUAUCUUAAACUUAUAAUAAAUUUAUUUAAAUAUUUGCUUACGCUUAAAGAUUUAUUUCCAUAUAAUAUACUUCAAUUACACCUAACCAAUUACGGUAUAUAAAUCCGCAUAAUUUCGUUCUAUUUUUUUUAUAUAUAAUAUUUGUGACUAUAUAUUUUUACUUUAUAAUAUCUAUAGACUAAAAGUAAUAAUCUCUUUUAAUCACUCAUUCCGCGCAGGGCGCGGGUUAUCACCUAGUGACUUUAUUACAAAAGAAAGAUUUGGUGACUAACAAAACCUAUGCGUGUGUGAUCUCCACACUACAAACUUUCACAACUUCUCUUUUGUUAUUAGUAAAGGACUAAUGAGAUGUUAUUUAACGAGUGUGGAUCGAUGGAGGUGGAGCGUCUGGACAUAUUUCGUCACAUCGGCAGUAACGCUUGAUCUUACGUAACAUGUAGACGUUGUCACAUGUGCAAUUAAAAUAGGUACCGUUAUAAGUUGUCGACAUAUACUUCUCACACGCUUUCGGUCCAUCAACUUUGCAGUUUCCUUCGAUAUCUUCUAUUCUUGGACAUAUAUUAUCUGGAUCAACUUCCACCAAAAAAAAAACUUAUCUGGAUCAACUUCUUCUCUAAUUUUAUAUGAACCACACACAUCAAAAAAAAAAUGUUAGCUGGUGGUUAAAGAUAUUUAGAAGAAAAAAAUUAGAGUGCAACAUUUUGCGACUUGUGACAAAAACAUUAUCGAAAGGAAAUGAAUAGAGCUAUACCUUUAGGUCCUUUACCAUCAGUUAUUACGAGAACGAUGAGAAGACAAGAAACUAUACACCAAGUAGCAGAUCUCAUGGUUAAAGAUAGAGAUACUAUAACUUGUGUGUUCUCUUGUGAAAGUAUUUGUAAUCUACGUAAACACACUCGUAACAAAUAAACUUAAAACACACAUUAAAAUAGAUAAUACUAUGUUUAGAAACAUAUACUUCGUGUAAUUCAACGUGUUGGAUAACUAAUUCCACGGGAUCAAUCUUAAUUUUUAGUUAAUUUCUUCUUAGAAAAUUCAAGUGUUUAUUUCCACAUUUUUCUGUGUAUAUAUGUACCAUUGUAUAUACGUUUAAAAUAAGAUUUUUUUUUUUUGAACAUCCCUUACUUAUUAAAGGAGGAACACUCAUAGAAAUAAACUUUGGCCUCAUGUGUUUAUUACAUGAGUGUCAUUUCCUAUGUGUCAUCACCUCAUACACUCUCACUAACUUUUUUAAAAAACCCUUUGUGAACUAGAAUAAUUACAACCAAAUGCCAUUGGUCAUAUACAUUAUACUAUAUGAUUACAAUCCGAUUUGAAAAAAAAAACGGGAAUUUAUGACAGACAGAAUAUUAACUCUUUUGUAAAAGGCAACAAAAUAAGUUCGACAUCUAUCAAAUCGUUUGGUUAUUUGGUCAAAUCUUAGAGUCAAGAUUCCUUUAUAUUUGUUUCUUUCUUAAUUGUAAAACUUUCCAAUUUUAAAAAUAUAGACUAAAAGUUAGGGAUUAUUAGUACUAAAUGUAAGAGAGUAUUCGUUUGUUUCGAAUUUGGGUGAAAUUAACCCUGACUAUGGGGUACUAUAUAUAAAUCACCUGAUCUUCCUCACCCACCCCACUUCAAUAAAAUUGCAUUGGUCAUUUUACUUAAUCACACAUGAAAUGGGACCAUUUGAAGUAGUUUAUUAUUAUGUUAGAAUCAUAAUCAUAAAUUUUCGGUCCGGUUAUAUAUAACGUGGACUAUAAGCUAUAUAUAUAACGUAGAUUUUGCUAAAUAUAUAUAACGUGGACUAUAAGCUUAUUUCCGGUCCGGUUAUCUGCAAUGCAAAGAUCUAUCUAUUUUUUAAAAAAUGUCAUAUAUUCCGGUAAAUAUAAAAAUCGUAAAUAUAAAAAUCUAUUUAAGCGGACAGUAUUUGUAUGAAAAUUAAUCAAUGAAUCAUAAUCAUAAGUAUUGAAGAAUAUUUAAAAUUAAUGAAUGUGUUUAACUAUAUAUGGCAUUAUUUCCUGUUAUAUAUUCACAAAUUAGGAGUCAAAGAAGCAUUAUAGGAAAAUUUUAACUUAGGCCAGUAUAUAUAUAUGGAAAUUGGAACAAUUUGUAAGUGUCUAACACCAAUUUAGACCAACGAUUUGUUGAAUAAUUAUUUUCAGAGUUGAUCAUGUAUUUUAAUUUCGUCAAUUACGUCAAUAAGUAUUAAUAUAUUUAUGGAGAUUGAUUAUUCUCCGCAAGAGUAAUUGUUGUAUCAACAAGUAAUUGAAAAACUAGACUAAAUAUGGAUAACGUAUUUACUCAAUCGUAAUGACUCAGUCCGGUGCGGUUUAUAUAGGAAAGUAACUAAUAAUUUUUCAAAAAUAUUAUGGUAAGUCAAUAAAUAUACAAAUAAUAUUUUUAAUUUUUUUGAAUGCUUAUAAUCUCGCGGAACAAAUUUCUUGAUGUAAUCCUUAUGCACUUAAUCCUACCAAUUAUAACUAUAUAUAUCAUACAUAACUUUGACACACCGUAUCACAAUCAACUUGCUACAAAACAAGCAUAUAAAAUUUGAGAGCUAUGAAUUUCAUCUCUGACUUUUUAUUCAAAGAAAACCAGGAGAAAGUUUUAUCAGUUUUGUUUUGUUUCUUUAUAACUUAUUUCAUGUAGCAUUUUAUUAUCAUAUUGCCUAUGUUUAAUUUUAUUGUAUAUUCAUAAUUUAUAUUAUGAAAAUAAUAAUUAUAUUUCUUAUGUUUUGUUUUAUCUUAAAUAAAUAAUAAAUUUAUGUAAGUCCUUCUUAUUUUUAUAGAUUUAACUCCAUCUGUUUUUACGAACGGAAAUAAUGGUAUCAUCGACCACAAAAUCCGUUUUUUCGUACUACACAUCCGGUAAGUAUUCAACAUCUCUAAAAAGAAAGAUAUACAUUUGUAUAGUAUCACAUGGUUUGAACCCUUCUUUUUUUUCUUUUACAGUAACGUCGUCAUUAAGUGUCGCUUAUGGUGCACUUGCUCAUGUUUUCAAUGAUUUAUGGAAUUCUAUAGAUGCAGACAUAGUAUUAUAUGUAUUUUACAGUGUUGGCAAAUUAAUUGGGGACAAAGUAAUCUAUUGUAUUUAUUUUAUAUACAAUCGAUUAAUAGGAGCUGAUAUUAUAUUUAUAUUUUGCUAAUAUUUGACAUAUUUCAUAAUAAGGCCGACUUAAGAGGGUUACUAACAUUGAUGGGAUUUCCAAAAUUGUCUUCGACCCCAUUGGUGUUCCAGAAAUUGAUGUUUUAAGAUUGAGGUAAUACAUGCAUUCACAUAUUUUGUUAAAUAAUAUUUUUAAAUUCUCUAGAUAAUCUCUUUGCUAUUGCUCAUAAUAGGAUUGCAAACGAAGACUUCUGAAUGCAUUAUUGACAGCAGUUAUUUUGUCUCUAUUUUUAAUUUUCUUUUGUUUUUUAUACAUUGUUCCUUUUAUAUUUUAUUAGACUAUUGCUUAUGUUUCAUUUAAUAUUAUAUUUAUAAUUUACCCGCAUGCAAACAAAUAUACAAUUUAAUUUUAAUGGCCAUCGCAUAUAAAUUUAUAUUUACAUACUAAAAUUCCUCGCUAUAAUCCAUACUUUCUUAGAUAUAUUUUUUUUACUAUGCCUUUAACUUUUAUUAUGUCUACAUAUUAAAAGUUAUAAUACUUUAAUAAUCUCCUCGCUCCGCGCAGGGCGCGGAUUAUAACCUAGUCAAUACUAUUAAAACAGAAGGAGUCCUAAAAAAUCUACUUAUGAAAGUUGUUUACACCUAUUCAUUUUUAGUCUAACAUAUUACUUUUUUUUUUUUUUGAACACAAUCUAACAUAUUACUUAUAACCAAAUAUUAUAACUAACCCCAAAUAUAGCAACCAAAUAAUGUCUUUAACAUUUAAAAAUCUACUUUAACUCACUCAGCCUUUUAUUUUUCUUUCAAUAUACCACUUGACUAUACAACAUUUAAUAUAAAUCAUAUCAUAUGUUUCAAAUAAUUCACUCAACCUUUUGUUUAAACCAACUUCCUACAUUACUUGAUAUAAACGAUACUAAAAACUUUAACACAUAGGGUCAGGGAAAAACGUCAAUAAAAUCCCAAACUUAACAAAAUAAGCUAAAAAAAGCCUCAACUUUUAAGUAAACCAAAAUAUUCCCAAACUUUAAAAAAAAUUCCAAAAUAAUCAUAAACUUAUGUUUGACUCUGUCAUUUUAAGCAUCCCCAAGUCAACUGUUAACUUUUUAUAAACUUCCGUUAAUUAAUAAACCAAACCUAUACUUUUAGGUCGGUUUCAUUAUAUCAAAUAUUUGCGAUAGGUAAGGUCAUGUUAAAUAUAUAUUAAUCAAACCAAACCUAUACUUUUAGGUCGGCUUCGGUUUAUUUUUUUGGUCGGGAUAAAAUGUCCAGACCUAAGAGAAAGUUAUAUAAGAGUGCACAUAUAAAAUCUCGAAUAAACUAAUUCAUAGAUUAUAUAAUUUUUAAAAAAAUUCUCUUCUUUGAUAUAAUAUGAUUUUGUAUUAUAAUAUAAUCCGAAAAACCCGCGCUUUCGAAGCGCGGGUCAAAAUCUAGUAAUACCUUUAAUACUCAAUUAUAUAUAACUAAAUAUUAAUAUCUUAUGUUUUCUUUUUAAAUUUUAGAUUUUAUUUCAGGUAUAUCAAACCGAACCGAUAAAACCCGAAUCUGAA